This 3938-nucleotide long non-coding RNA is filed under the name Macaca mulatta (Rhesus monkey). Its description in RNAcentral is "lncRNA (ENSMMUG00000062703.1)". Lineage: Eukaryota; Metazoa; Chordata; Mammalia; Primates; Cercopithecidae. The record is from RNAcentral.
UUAAUUUGAGAUGUUCAAUUAGACACACAGUGGAGAUGCCAAAUAGACAAUUAUACAGGAGUCUGGUGCUGAGUGUUGAGGUCUGGGAUGGAGACAUCACCCUGAGGGUCCUUAGCAUUUAAAUGCUGUUUAAAACCAGGAGGUUAGAUGAGCUCAUCAAGGGAGAGAGAAGGGAUAGAAGGGAGAGGGUCUGAGGACUCAGCCCUGGAGCAUAGAUAAUUAACAGGCAGAUGAGGAGAAACUGGGAGAGGAGACUGAGAAGGAACAGCAGGCAAGAGAAAGAGGGCUAAGGGAGAGCCAUGACCUACAAUCAGGUCAAGAAGCAUUUCUACAGGAGAGAUUUAUGCUGCUGAUCUUCCAAUAGAUCAAGUAGUGUGGAGACCACUGAGACCCAGCCACUGGAGACCAUUAGCCUAGAGAGGUCAUUGGUGGCCUUGCCAAGCCCUGUUUUGAUUCCAGGUUCGGGAGACAGAGUGUAGACAGAGGAGAGGAAUCACAGACAGCCCAGUGCAGACAAUAGGCAACUCUUUCAAAGAGUCAUCUUAUAAAGGUUUCACAUACAGAAGCAGCUUCAUGGACCCAUCCAACAGGAAGGGAUUUCUUACAGGCAAGCCAAGAAGUUAUCUUGCAGCUGACUUUCAGUUAUGCAUAACUACCACCCAUCCGGGACCCAAUGAUUGGGCAAAGGAGCUCGGACAUCACACAAUAAUGGCCCAGUGACUCGUCUAAUUGCCUACUUGUCAAUGCCAUAGUAUUACAACAUUCUGGUGGCCUGACUUACUUGACUAUUCAUAUCUCAAAGGGCAUGCCUCUGAGAUGCCACGCGAGAUAUUUUGAAAGAUUAGAUAUUGCCGAAUUGAGUCAUAUGUGGGAAAGAGAGAAGAGGGCUCACUGGAUUCCUCUCUGGUAGCAAGUGAUUUGGUGGGAGUGAAGCCCUGAGAAGAGACUGUCUGGGAGGAUCAACCAAAAGCCUUAAAACAAAGGAGUGACUUUCAGAGACUGGCUAAGGAUACAAUCAUUAAAAUCAUUUAUUCAGUCACCAUUUUCAGAGCUCACUGUUAGGCAGGCAAAGAUACAUAAGAGAAGUUGCUUACUUUCAUGAUCAAGUUGGAGACAGCAGUUAUCAGAACACUCUCAGUAUUUCUGGGAAAUCCUGCAAGUUAUGUCACAUGGGGUACCUCUUUCUUUGAGCUCAAAUCGUCCUAUCUGCCACUCUGGUUACAUAACCACUCUGAACUGCAGUUUCAUCUUCUGUAAAUUGGGAAUAAUGAGUUCUACCUCAUUUUUAAGUGAGCUUCUUAACGUGAAAGUAAUUUUCAGAUGAUUUAAUGCGAAGGGAUAUAAAUACAUUGGGAGUAUUUGGGGAAUCCAUGAAGAGAUUUACUUCCUUCUUUAAUAUUCUGAGAUUUUACUUUGCAGUCUUACAGGCAUGCACGUGCGUUUUUUUUUUUUAAGUUGAUUAAUUAAAAUUAUUCCCUGCUUUUGUUCUUAAAAUGAGAUAUACUCCAUUUUUAUAGAUUUGUCAAGGUUGCAAAGCUUCAGAAUUCCUAAGUCAGCUGUGACUAUUGGAUAAUAUCAAACCAAAGCAUUGAGGGUUCCUUUAAAAACCAAAAAGUCUGUUUCAGGGCUGAGACAAUGAGGAUUUCUAAUAUCUUUAAAGGUGCAAGAAGCAGGCAAGGGAGCCUUGGAAUUAUUGACAAGAGCCUUCGUAAACACCUUCCAACCAGUUUUCCUCACAGUUGCCACAAAAGGAACAGGCUUGUGAGAGGGCCACAAAGGAGCUUAGGUUUCCUGACAAACUCUGAAUGGCCUUCCCUGUAUUACCAAGGGCUGACUUUGUUCCUGGUGGUGCCAACAGUGGGCAUGAAGCCAGCCCUUCUGUUUACGAGCAGCUCAAGGUCAGGUGGGCUUGGACUACCUGACUUUUCAUUAGGUCAGUAAAUAUGUAUAUGAGUAAAGUGGUUGUGGGCCAACUGAACUGCUUGCUCCAGAGCUAUGGACCUCUUGCCUGGCCUCCCAGCUCCCUGAAUCCAUGAGAACAUUCAAUGAAUCAACGAGGACAUUCACAUCCUCAUUGAGUCCUCCUUGGUCCUUCCCAUUCCCUGCCUCAUUCACAAGACCCUCUCCUCAUCUCUCACCCUGUCUUGCCUUGACGACCUGUCCAGGCCCAUCAUCCACCUGACUUAUAAACUUCAAACACCUUGUGGUGUUUCCUGCUUCCAAAUAUUCCUCAAAAUUGAGGAUCCUGAGUUGAAUACCUGGAGUUCUCCUUUCUGAUUUCUAUAAUGGUAGACAUGGUCUAAGGUAGAUUUUCCAGGCUUUUCUGGACUUGCCAGAGACUCCCUCUCUUGGCAGGUCUGAAUCAGAAGAUCAUGCACUGGCUUGGCAUGGUGGCUUAUGCCUGUAAUCUCAGCACUUUGGGAGGUCAACGCGGGCAGAUCACUUGAGGUCAGGAGUUCGAGACCAGCCUGGCCAACAUGGUGAAACCAUGUCUCUACUAAAUACAAAAAUUAGCCGGGUGUGGUGGUGCACACCUGUCAUUCCAGCUACUCGGCAGGCUGAGGCACAAGAAUCUCUUGAAAUGGUGAGGCAGAGCUUGCAGUGAGCCAAGAUUGAACCACUGUAUGCUAUCCUGGGUGACAGACUGAAAUAAAAGAAGAUUCCUGCAGUGUCCUAGAAUCUCUACUUUUUUAAAUUUUUUUUUUGAGAUGAAGCCUCACUCUUGUUCUCCAGGCUGGAGUGUGAUGGCAUGAUCUCGGUUCACUGUAACCUCUGCCUCCUGGGUUCAAUCGAUUCCCCUGCCUCAGCCUUCCAAGUAGCUGGGAUUACAGGUGCCUGCCACCAUGCCCGGCUAACUUUUGUAUUUUUAGUAGAGAUGUGGUUUCACUAUGUUGGCCAGGCUGGUCUCAAACUCCUGACCUCAGGUGAUCUGCCUGCCUUGGCCUCCCAAAUUGCUGGGAUUACAGGCGUAAGCCACUGAGCCCGGCCAGAAUUUCUACUUUUAACAAUUAUCCUGGAGGAUUAUUAUGAUCAAGUAUGUUGGAGGAAUAGCUAGAAUGCCUGUUAGGGUAUAAAAAGUAUUAUGUUUUACUUCUUCAUGUAUAUUUGCAUGUUUUCCUAACAGACCCUCAGUAUUACUAGAUGAUUAGCCAAUAUUGCUAGAUGAUUAGCUAGAUAAUAUGGAUGAUUUGACUGGCAGGUAGUGGCCCUAAUGCAGUAAUAAGAAACUCUGUCCAUAGAUAGUUGAGAAAGAGCCUUGGGUGCUGACACAUUAAAUAGGCCUUAUGAAAUAUAUUUUGGUGUUCUUGAGAGAUGAGAAUGAAUUUUCAAGAGGGCAAUUUGGUCUCAUUUUAACUUGGAAGAUAGAAGAGAUGGUCAAGAGUCUCAUUGUUUAUAUAAAAAGACUGUAGAAAAUGCAUCAAAGCAUUCGUAAGGUUAGGCACCUCUACACGCUUCUUGAGGUUAGACACCUCUACAUGGUUGGUGUGGUAUCUGCCACAAAGUAAGCUCUCAAUAAAACUAAUGGAAUGAAUAAAUAAAUGAAUGAACAUUGUAUUCAUUGAUGGUGACUGGGACAUGUUCCUUUCUCCUCCCUGUCUGUCUAGGUCUUCUCACCUGAAGAACAUUGGGAAGACUUUAAUUGGAAUCACAAGAAUUGGGUAUAAACUUUGGCUCCGGCCGGGCGCGGUGGCUCAAGCCUGUAAUCCCAGCACUUUGGGAGGCCGAGACGGGCGGAUCACGAGGUCAGGAGAUCGAGACCAUCUUGGGUAACACAGUGAAACCCCGUCUCUACUAAAAAUACAAAAACUUAGCCGGGCGAGGUGGCAGGCGCCUGUAGUCCCAGCUACUCGGGAGGCUGAGGCAGGAGAAUGGCGUGAACCCGGGAGGCGGAGCUUGCAGUGAGCUGAGAUCCGGCCACUGCACUCCAGCCUGGGUGA